Molecule: ribosomal RNA, 1425 nt
Filed under: insect metagenome
Description: bacterial LSU rRNA
Rfam family: Bacterial large subunit ribosomal RNA
Source: RNAcentral
GACCAUCUAGCGACCUCCACUAACACCCUGACCAUCUAGCGACCUCCAGAGGUGUGAUGACGAGGCACUACGGUGCUGAAGUAACAAAUGCCCUGCUUCCAGGAAAAGCCUCUAAGCAUCAGGUAACAUCAAAUCGUACCCCAAACCGACACAGGUGGUCAGGUAGAGAAUACCAAGGCGCUUGAGAGAACUCGGGUGAAGGAACUAGGCAAAAUGGUGCCGUAACUUCGGGAGAAGGCACGCUGGCGCGUAGGUGAGGGGACUUGCUCCCGGAGCCGAGGCCAGUCGAAGAUACCAGNUGGCUGCNACUGUUUAAUAAAAACACAGCACUCUGCAAACACGAAAGUGGACGUAUAGGGUGUGACGCCUGCCCGGUGCUGGAAGAUUAAAUGAUGGGGUGCAAGCUCUUGAUUGAAGUCCCAGUAAACGGCGGCCGUAACUAUAACGGUCCUAAGGUAGCGAAAUUCCUUGUCGGGUAAGUUCCGACCUGCACGAAUGGCGUAACGAUGGCCACACUGUCUCCUCCCGAGACUCAGCGAAGUUGAAAUGUUUGUGAUGAUGCAAUCUACCCGCGGCUAGACGGAAAGACCCCAUGAACCUUUACUGUAGCUUUGCAUUGGACUUUGAACCAAUCUGUGUAGGAUAGGUGGGAGGCUUUGAAGCGGGGACGCUAGUUCUCGUGGAGCCAACNUUGAAAUACCACCCUGGUGUGUUUGAGGUUCUAACCUUGGUCCAUUAUCUGGAUCGGGGACAGUGCAUGGUAGGCAGUUUGACUGGGGCGGUCUCCUCCUAAAGUGUAACGGAGGAGUUCGAAGGUACGCUAGAUACGGUCGGACAUCGUGUUGAUAGUGCAAUGGCAUAAGCGUGCUUAACUGCGAGACUGACAAGUCGAGCAGGUACGAAAGUAGGACAUAGUGAUCCGGUGGUUCUGUAUGGAAGGGCCAUCGCUCAACGGAUAAAAGGUACUCUGGGGAUAACAGGCUGAUUCCUCCCAAGAGUUCAUAUCGACGGGGGAGUUUGGCACCUCGAUGUCGGCUCAUCACAUCCUGGGGCUGUAGCCGGUCCCAAGGGUAUGGCUGUUCGCCAUUUAAAGUGGUACGUGAGCUGGGUUUAAAACGUCGUGAGACAGUUUGGUCCCUAUCUGCCGUGGGCGUUGGAAAUUUGAAGGGGGCUGCUCCUAGUACGAGAGGACCGGAGUGGACGAACCUCUGGUGUACCGGUUGUCACGCCAGUGGCAUUGCCGNGUAGCUANGUUCGGAANNGAUAACCGCUGAAAGCAUCUAAGCGGGAAACUUGCCUUGAGAUGAGAUUUCCCAGAGCCUUGAGCUCUUUNAAGGGUCGUUCGAGACCAGGACGUUGAUAGGCUGGGUGUGGAGGUCGCUAGAUGGUCAGGGGUAGUGGAGGUCGCUAGAUGGUCAGGGGGUG